RNAcentral lists this transfer RNA (72 nucleotides) under Curruca crassirostris (eastern orphean warbler). Its description in RNAcentral is "transfer RNA-Glu". Lineage: Eukaryota; Metazoa; Chordata; Aves; Passeriformes; Sylviidae. The record is from RNAcentral.
GUUCCUGUAGUUAAAGUUUUAUAGCGGCAGUUCUUCAGACUGUAGGUCUCAGAGAAAGUCUGGGCAGGAAUU